UGAGCAUUUUAGUGAAAAGGC
This 21-nucleotide non-coding RNA is filed under the name Caenorhabditis elegans. Lineage: Eukaryota; Metazoa; Nematoda; Chromadorea; Rhabditida; Rhabditidae. The record is from RNAcentral.